Molecule: non-coding RNA, 54 nt
Organism: Salmo salar (Atlantic salmon)
Lineage: Eukaryota; Metazoa; Chordata; Actinopteri; Salmoniformes; Salmonidae
Source: Rfam
UAUGCACUCUACUGUAAGUCGCUCUGGAUAAGAGCAUCUGCUGAAUGACUAAAA